GAUGAACGCUGGCGGCGUGCCUAAUACAUGCAAGUCGAGCGAACGGACGAGAAGCUUGCUUCUCUGAUGUUAGCGGCGGACGGGCGAGUAACACGUGGAUAACCUACCUAUAAGACUGGGGUAACUUCGGGAAACCGUAGCUAAUACCGGAUAAUAUUUUGAACCGCAUGGUUCAAAAGUGAAAGACGGUCUUGCUGUCACUUAUAGAUGGAUCCGCGCUGCAUUAGCUAGUUGGUAAGGUAACGGCUUACCAAGGCAACGAUGCAUAGCCGACCUGAGAGGGUGAUCGGCCACACUGGAACUGAGACACGGUCCAGACUCCUACGGGAGGCAGCAGUAGGGAAUCUUCCGCAAUGGGCGAAAGCCUGACGGAGCAACGCCGCGUGAGUGAUGAAGGUCUUCGGAUCGUAAAACUCUGUUAUUAGGGAAGAACAUAUGUGUAAGUAACUGUGCACAUCUUGACGGUACCUAAUCAGAAAGCCACGGCUAACUACGUG
This 497-nucleotide ribosomal RNA is filed under the name uncultured bacterium. RNAcentral describes it as "partial 16S ribosomal RNA". It matches the Rfam family "Bacterial small subunit ribosomal RNA", at positions 28 to 507 of the family's 1533-position model. The record is from RNAcentral.